GUCGACGUGUGCAGAAGUCCUGCUAGACUGGUCCUUGUUCCUGUUUGGGUACCAGCUUCCUUCAGCAGCGGUAGCCGGUGGGGCCAACGGUGGGGAAGGAGAAGGAGUCUACUGGCUGAAAUUUUUCAGGUCUGCUGUUCUGAAAAGGCCGGGAAGAAAAGUGAUCGGAUGAGAAGAUGAGGGAAAUAUUAUGAAGACCCCUGGAGUGGAGUAUGGAGAUAAUAAUGAUCUUUCUGGGAUCUCAUAAGGACCAAAUAAGUUAAUCACUUCAGACCAUUCUUCAAGGUUACGGCAGCUUGAUGGAUGAAGGUGAAGGUCCAGGAACUCACUUGCCAACAUUAUAAGACUGGUUGAAUCCAGCCCCUUGGCACUGAGGAGUGGCACUGUGGCAGGACAUGGAAGGACUCCCCCAAGGCACACCCCUCUCCAAGAUGAUAUGACAUUGGUUUCUCUGCUCCAGCCUGCAGCAGGCACCAACUCUCCAGGCUGUCCUGGACAUGCAUACCUGGAGGAUAACUGUCCGUCCCAUUGCAGGAACUGCCAUAUUGUUUUCUAAACUGGCUGACCAUUUUACCUUCAUUGUGUAUACUGCUGUAUACUUACCAGCAGUGUGUAAGGGUUCCAAUUUGCCCAUAUCCUUGACAACACUUUAUUUUCUGACUUUUUGACUGUAGCCACUUUAGCAGAGGUUGUUAUCUACUUUCAACUCCUCAGAAAACACCAAGGACAAGAAAAGAUCUCAAUCAACACCUCAACACCUUAGUGAAGACAACAUCAUUACAAGGACAAAUUUCACCUAUCUUUAUUAUUUUUAACUAAUUUAUUUUAAUUGAAGCAUAAUUGUUUUACAGAAUUUUGUUUUCUUUCUGUCAAACAUCAACAUGAAUCAGCCAUAGUUCACCUAUCUGUAAAACAUCACUUCAUUACAACCAACAUCCCAUGUAGCAUAAACUCUAAUCUUGGAAAAAUACACAAAAGCAUGUUUUCAUCCAAGAAAAUUUGGUGGUUUCAAGCAAAAGACUAAUCCAAGAUGGAUCAAAAAGAUAAUAGCAAAAAAUUGAGCCACUGAGAGAACCAAAAAUCUACUUUUCAAAUUUUGUAUUCAAUGGUUGCAUGUGUGCUCAGUCUCUCAGUCAUGUCUGACUCUUUGUGACCCCAUAAACUACAGCCCACCAGGAUCCUCUGUCCAUGGGAUUCUCCAGGCAAGGAUACUGGAUUGAGUUGCCAUGCCCUCCUCCAGGGAUCUUCACAACCCGGGGAUUGAACCUGCAUCUCUUACAUCUCCUGCAUUGGCAGGCGGGUUCUUUACCACAAGCAUCAUCUGAGGAGGCCAUUCAAUGGUUAUGUCAUAGCAAUUUGCCUACUUUCAGGGGAUUCUUUCUAGGUAAUUUCUAAUUUUCAUAAAAGUUUUUCUAUAUUGCUGUAAAUAUAGUCCCCUGAAUGAAGAGCAACCUAUUAGCCUCAGUAUGCAUGCUGCAUGCUAAGUCGUUUCAGUUGUGUUGGACUCCUUGUGACCCUAUGGACUGUAACCGCCAAGCUCCUCUGUCCAUGGGAUUCCUCUGUCCAUGGGAGUGGGUUGCCAUUUCCUUCUCCAGGGGAUCUUCCUGACUCAGGGAUUGUCUCAUGUUUCCUGCACUAGCUGGCGGAUUCUUUACCACUAGUGCCACCUGGGAAGCCCCAUUAACUCAAUAGUGGAUAUAUCAGUCAACAAAUAUUCAACUACCGGGGUCCAGCCCCAGCAGGAUCCAGGGGAACCCUCAGGAUGAACGGUGUCGGCGAGAGAGAGACACGUAGGACUGGCCUUGAUAGGGCUAAGUCUGCGAGGGGGAGAGAGAGAGAAAGAAAGAGACCAAACCAGGAAUAUGCAGCAGAGUCUGGCAGUUGUUUUAUUUUUCACCGUAGCCUUUAUACCCUAAGUUGGUACAUUUCUAAGGGGCAGAUAAGCAUACAGACUCAGUUUAACAUUACAUCAGCUUGUCCCUCACGAAACCAGGUGUUCUCUGUAUAUUUUUUAUUUACGAGAGUCUUUUCCCAUAGAUUUUUUGUACCUUAUCUUCUGGCCUUGAGGUUAGCAGAAAACAGAAAAGUGGCAGUCUCAUGGUACAGCAGGUUGCAACAUAAUAGAAAUACAAUCUUGUUAACAUAAAAGUCAGUCUUUUUGCAGAAAUUCUUAGCUAAAUUUAUCUAAAAAGUUUAGCACACAAAGACUCUGCAGCUCCGGUGAGGCAGCCCCUGUUUAGCACUCCCGGGUAAAAUUAACAAUUAUUUUAUUGUUUUUACACUAGGGCUAAACUCUUAUUUUAUUCUAUCUUUAACUAUAUUAACAAUAGUUUCCACUGCACAACCUCAGCACAUUAACAUCAAUCAAACGUUGAUCUAAUAACCACUUUUAAAACAACCAAGUGGGCUUUAUCCCAGGAAUGCAAGGAUUCUUUAAUAUCCGCAAAUCAAUCAAUGUAAUACACCACAUUAACAAAUUGAAAGAUAAAAACCAUACGAUUAUCUCAAUAGAUGCAGAGAAAGCCUUUGACAAAAUUCAACACUCAUUUACGAUUAAAACUCUCCAAAAAGCAGGAAUAGAAGGAACAUACCUCAACAUAAUAAAAGCUAUAUAUGACAAACCCACAGCAAGCAUCACCCUCAAUGGUGAAAAGUUGAAAGCAUUUCCCCUGACAUCAGGAACAAGACAAGGGUGCCCACUCUCACCACUACUAUUCAACAUAGUGUUGGAAGUUUUGGCCACAGCAA
Dama dama (fallow deer) is the source of this 2748-nucleotide RNA transcript. It is a transcript of the gene named transcription elongation factor A like 9, with no coding region annotated. The record is from RefSeq and is a predicted model, not a curated record. The transcript is spliced from 6 exons. NCBI's taxonomy places the organism in Eukaryota, Metazoa, Chordata, Mammalia, Artiodactyla, Cervidae.